UGCGCGCAGGUUCUCAGCUCUGCUUGGAACGUGAAGGUGAGGCCGGGGCUGUUUGCAAGAUGUCCUGGACGUUUUGCAAAGCCGGAGUUGGAUGGUCUCUAGCAAUGAUAUGGAAAACCUCACCCAACUUAAUUUUGUAAGUUGGUCAGAAUUUGGCGACUGGAUGUCUCUACACAGUUGUUUCCUGUAGACUGGCUUUCUGGAACCCUACGUUGAAAUGGUGUUCCCUGCAAUUCUCAUACGAUCAGGACAUUUGAUGUUUAUUUAUUAUUUACUUAUUUAUUUAUUUGGGAGGCUGGGCUUUGUAUAUGCGAGGCAAGUGUUCCAUCUUCGAGCUAUAGCCUCAGCCCAGACAAUGCGUUCUAAUCGCAGAGCAGUUGUGAGCCUCAUUCUGGCGAAAUUUGUGUCGACUAGACAGACACAAGCUAGAGUCUUGAGAAGAGGGAACCUAAGUUGAGAAAAUGUUUCCAUAAGAUCAGGCAGGCUGUAGGCCAGCCUUUAGGGCAUCUUCUUAAUUUGUGAUUGAUGGGGGAGGGAUGGACCAGCUCUUUGUGGGCGGAGCCACCCCGGGUAUUGGUCCUGGGCGCUAUAAAAAAAAAAAAAA
Molecule: long non-coding RNA, 604 nt
Filed under: Rattus norvegicus (Norway rat)
Lineage: Eukaryota; Metazoa; Chordata; Mammalia; Rodentia; Muridae
Description: long non-coding RNA NONRATT011640
Source: RNAcentral